GAGAACCUCCUCCUUUUUUGGAAGUCGGUUAAAAAACCUAGCUUCGUUGAGCCCGUUUCCACCAAUGCUAAGCUAUGUGGACCAAUGAAGAUGAUUAGUGGAUAUCACACACAUCCAUAGCAAUGAAGCAUAACACAUC
Molecule: long non-coding RNA, 139 nt
Organism: Maniola jurtina (meadow brown)
Lineage: Eukaryota; Metazoa; Arthropoda; Insecta; Lepidoptera; Nymphalidae
Exons: 3
Source: RefSeq, a predicted model, not a curated record